This is a long non-coding RNA of Mustela erminea (ermine), 3094 nucleotides long. RefSeq lists it as uncharacterized. The transcript has 4 exons. The record is from RefSeq and is a predicted model, not a curated record. Lineage: Eukaryota; Metazoa; Chordata; Mammalia; Carnivora; Mustelidae.
UUUCUCUUAGAGUAUCACUUUUGCUCACUUUUCACGGAGCAAAUCAAGUGCCACCCUCUGCACUCCGUCAAGGGCAUGGGAACUGGAGGACCCAGUCAAGGGCCUGCAGCCACGGCUGCUGGUGCCACUGAGUUCCAUGAAUCAGACAACAUCCAACCUAGCAGACAGAAAUGAGCUCUGAGGAACUGCGCAGAAGCAACUCAGAACAAGGAAAUUAUGCUGGACACUAAAAUCAGAUCCCACAUCUUUGAAAAGAAAAUGUGAACACCUGUAUCCAAGGUGUCCUUGAGAGUUAAGUAAGACAUCGUGGUGAUGCCCCCAGUGCACAGCUGCGGAUGAGAAGGAAAGGAGAACAAGAUGAAGUCCCAAGAGCGGGUUUGGGUACAGGGACAAACGAUGCAGCUGAUAUACGCCUGCCCUCAUUUCCGUGUGCACGCACACACGUGUGCACACAUGCACACACGCAUGUACCUGCUUCAUCCGUCCUCCAGCCAACUUUCUAAAAAGAGUUCAGUAGUUUAAAAUAUUCAUAGCAAAUCUUCUCUCAGUUUUUGGCAUAAUUGAGUAAUCCAACCACCGAAUAAAGAAGGACUUGAUAUUUUUGGCUUCCUAGAAACUGUAGGGGAGGAAAACACUUCCUUCUACCCUUCCAGAUUCUGCAGCUAGUUUAAGAAUUAAGUUGACCUAGGACAGAUUAAUCAGGAGGAAAAACUCCCAACUUUGAUUACGUACGUACUCAUGAGGUCUCACAAAAAUAUGAGACCAAGGUGAUUCUCAGAUGACUGAGAUUUACACAGCACCUUGAGGUAAAGGAAAGGGUGAGGGUGGUCAUGGCUUUGAGGCGGAAGGAGACAAAUUCUGGCCUGGGUGAGAGACGGAAGUGAAAACAGGCACAACCAGUAAAUCCCAGGAGCCUUGUUGUGCAGAUAAGGGCCUCUCAGGUGAAAGACCACAUCUGGUAGCUCUCUUCCUGGUGUAUUUGCUAAGGGAAAUUUCCUUUAUAAAUGUAAAUUUCCUCUGUAAGAGGGGAAGUACAUACUUUUCUUAGGGGUCUUAGGGGGCAGUGAAGAGCUUUUCCUGUGCCCGCUGAUUUUCUCUCCCCUUUGCCUCAAAUAAUCCAUAUGCCAAAGUGUCAUAUUUGGGGGCAGCCUGUUCUGAACCCUUUACAUUUUUUCAGCAUGAAAGAACACAAAAUGUAUAACCUUGACCAAACUUUACUCAGAAAUAUCAGCGUGCUCACAAUAAGGACUUUCUUAGGGCUGCUAGUGGGGAUCACUGCCUCCUCAAAUCCAUGGGGGGGCAAACCCCCCAGAGCCCCAAGAACAGAAUUCAGUCUAUCCUGGGGGUGUCCGACAGCUCAAGAGACUGAAAAGAAAAUGGGAUUGAACAAGUUUUCAUCUGAAUGCUGAGGAACCCCAGUGACUUGGACUUUUUGCCCUGGUUAGGUGUUGGGUGGAAGCAAGACUGGGGCAAAGACAGCUCGAGGGGAGCUGGGCGGGACCAGGAUGAACUGCACACUCCAGAUACCUGCAGCACAGGUGCCCUGUCCCCUCCUCCUGGGAACUGGGAGCUACAGGAGCACCUAGUCACCAUGCAAGGGAACGGGGGAGGGUAGGGGUGACCGUGGAUCUCAGGUCUGGAAGGUUUUGAUCGUGGAUAGGACGUCUUAUCAAUGCCAGGCUUGCUUCCGAUAGGAGCACUCCCCUAGCAUAGAUUUAACCCAGAAAUUAGGAACGCAGACAAUUGUUCGUGUCCCCAGUGGCUCUGGCCAGAAACAAUUAUCCGCUUGGCUCAUUAAAACAAGUAACGAAUGCUAAUUGUCUCCACAAUUAGCCAAGUACUGGUUCAGCCACUUGUGCCUACAGUACGGGAUUGCGAGAGUGGCUGGCAAGAGGAGGACUUAAAUUCAGCCCUAAAUAGUCUGUCAUUUUAUUUUUUUUUUCUCUUUAUGCAGGGAGUGUGGGGUGCAGGAUAUAAAGAGGGAGCUUGGUCAAGGUGACCCUGACGCUAUUUUCUAGCUUUCAGAUAUGGAGAUUUGUGGUGAAAGCAAAUGCAUAGACUCAUAGAGGAUCCAUUUCCUCUGAGUCUACAUAAUCAGGAAAGUCCCUGGAGGGAGGAAGGAGAAGGAAGGAGAAGGUCCCUGGAAGGGAAGGAAAGGGAGGAGGAGAGAAAUGCCACCCACACAAGGCAACAUUCCCUGAAUUUCUGGAAGUUUCCUUAGGCCCUACCAAGGUUCUCUGAGGGCUCCAUGAGACACUGGGGUGGAUAUCCCAUAUUGCUGGAUAAGGUCCUUCCUAUGAAGACACCAGCAGAGGGAAGAUGGGACAGAAGGCAGAGGGCCGUGCAGGGAGUUGCAGGGCGGGGGGGAGGGAGGGGCGGUGGAGUUGGCUCAUACGCUCAUACUUCCCUUCUGAAAUUGCUCAAAUGAUGAAACUCUGGCUCUCCGCCCAAACAUCCCCAUUCCUCCCUUUAUUCUGCAUUUAUGUCUAGCUUGAUUUUCUAUUUUGCCCAGAUCUUCUGAGGACCUUGUCGUAUCAGUUAAUUUCCAGUGGUGAAGCACCAAGAGCCCAUGCAGCUCCUGCCCAGAGAGGACAGGGUGUGUCCCCUGCGAGGAAUAGCAAGGGGAUUCAAGCCCUCUGCCCUUCAGAACAAUACACUGGAGGGCAACCGAGGAGAAUGGAAGGGAGGUUAAUAAAAGCAAAUACAAGGCAGGAAGUAGAAAGAAAGCAAGCAAACAGGAAAGAAGGAAAGAAGGAAGGGAAGGAAGGAGAUUUUGUCUGAAGGCUCCCAAGUGAGAAGUUACUGGAGGCAAGGAUACCCUUCUUCUCUCUCUGCUCCUGCUUUUCUGCAUUGCACGUGUACCCGUCUGCUGCAGAUCUGAUUGCCAGAUUUAUCCUAAUAUCCUAGUGAUGGAUGAAAGUUGAAAUAUUCAUCAGCCCUGAAGUAUUUAUAUUACAAAAAUUAAUAGUUGAAAAGCACCCUGAUGACUCUCUCCAAGGAGAUCCAAGGUUGUAGUCAGUGUAGACAUCCAGUACUGGCUGGUGUCUUAACCUCAAUGACACUUGAACGAAAAAAGUAACAGUACAAAUAAGUA